GUAGGUGGCAAGCGUUGUCCGGGAAUUAUUGGGGCGUAAAGCGCGCGCAGGCGGUUCUUUAAGUCUGAUGUGAAAGCCCACGGGCUCAACCGUGGGAGGGCAUUGGAAACUGGAGAACUUGAGUACAGAAGAGGAAAGCGGAAUUCCACGUGUAGCAGUGAAAUGCGUAGAGAUGUGGAGGAACACCAGUGGCGAAGGCGGCUUUCUGGUCUGUAACUGACGCUGAGGCGCGAAAGCGUGGGGAGCAAACAGGAUUAGAUACCCUGGUAGUCCACGCCGUAAACGAUGAGUGCUAAGUGUUAGGGGGUUUCCGCCCCUUAGUGCUGCAGCUAACGCAUUAAGCACUCCGCCUGGGGAGUACGGCCGCAAAGGCUGA
This 376-nucleotide ribosomal RNA is filed under the name uncultured organism. RNAcentral's name for it is "partial 16S ribosomal RNA". It matches the Rfam family "Bacterial small subunit ribosomal RNA", at positions 527 to 897 of the family's 1533-position model. The record is from RNAcentral.